Molecule: small RNA, 78 nt
Filed under: Flavobacterium xanthum
Lineage: Bacteria; Pseudomonadati; Bacteroidota; Flavobacteriia; Flavobacteriales; Flavobacteriaceae
Description: Flavo-1 RNA
Rfam family: Flavo-1 RNA
Source: RNAcentral
CCCUAGCCCAGAUAGAAGUGAAAAUCCUUAUGCGCCGGGGUUCGGCGGAUAAGAUUGUAACGAAUAGCUGGAAAUAGC